CAGAAUCACCAAUGAGGUUCAUGAGAAAACAACUCUACCUAACUUAUCCAAUUAGGUGACAUAAAAGUAUCUCGCGUAUCAAACUAUACAAGUAACUAGUAUUUGUGAAAAUAGUAAAACAUUCCCGCAUUAUGUUGAUGAUCAGUCAUCAUUUCGACAUCUCUGCUUCUUUAACCGAUCACAACAACACUUAGAUGAUAAUCACGCCUAAUUAAAAAAAAAAAAAAAAUUCCAAAUGACGAGUAGGAACUGACGACACGAGAUUGACGAACUCUGAAAAUGACGCGGAGGCACGAGGAAGUUCCCAAGGAAAAAACGAGAGGGAAAAGUUGAGCGUAAGACGGGAGGGCCGUCAAUUCGGCAAUAACGAGAACAACUGCAACCACCGCCGUCUUGGCCGUCGAAAGAGCGAGCGAUUCGACGCGUGCGGUACGAAGAAGGUAUACCGAUGUGCUCGACAAGGCUGGAAAGAGUAUGUGGCAGAACGACUUCAAAUCAAAGGCUGCAAACGAUAUGGCUGAAGACCCAUUGCCAACUUGCAGGCUAUGUGAGACACGUGUUGGCAAUAAGAUGAUGUGGAUUAACAGACUAAUUUGAAGAUGUCGACUGUGGGGCCUUUGCAACGCCUUGCAAAUUUAUUAGUUUAACAUAGCCUCACAGUUAUUUCUGUAUCUUUAGUACUAAUACAAAACUGGGCUGUUGGUACAUUCUUGGUUACUUUUUCUCUUGUCUUUUCUCCUUGGUUACUUUGUUUGUCUCUGUCUUAACUGACUUUUGAACUGCUAGUAUCUGCUGCACUUGAGAUAAUUUUUAUUCAUCCGUUUAAAUAUUUAAAACAAAACUUGUGACAUCUUUUUGCAUUUUUUGGAAGUCUGAUGUUCCGCCCACUGUCUGACAUGUCUUUAAUAUCUCAAGUUUAAAGAAACUCUCUAGCUUCUGUCAGUUUAAACUUCAGGGAGUUUUGAAUUUUUGAGAACUGUCAGGCGUCUAUUGUCUGUCACCUUUUCAAAAGGUUUUAAAGAUUCGUAACUCUUGGUCUAAACAGACUUCGUUUCUGUCUAGGUGCUGUCUCUUUAACUUUAUAACUUUACUCAGUUUAUCACAUAUACCUUAAAUUGAUGAAAUUUACCUUCAUUGAGGAUGAAAUUAUCAUAUAUCACCGAGCUCAAGAUCUGAAUUUUCAUACAUCACUCAGGAUUAAAUCAUCAUAUAUAACUAAGAUUGAAUAAGCUCUCUCCUUAUAAAUUAUCAUAUAUAUAUCAUAUAUACUUAUAUAUGAUAUGAUGAAAUUUAAUAUAUCAUAUAUACCUUAAAUUGCUGAAAUUUAACUUAAUUUCAUAACUCUGGAUGAAAUUAUCAUAUAUAACUUAAAUUAAAUAAGGCUGUCUUCUUAGGUUCUGUUUCUGAGAUUUAGCACAUUAAACUGGAAAUCAAUGAAAGCUGUCUACUUGUACUUGAAAUAUUAAUGAUACUGUUUUCUGUCUGUAAGAUGUAGCUAGUUGAUACUUAGUUAAAUUCCCUCAUAUUCUCUCGGGUUGUUUGUCUGUCGACAAUAAUUAUCUGGCAUUUGUUAAGGUCUCAUCGUAGGGGAAAGAACCAAAUGCUCCUCUUGGCUUGGAAUUAUUUGGAGGUGGAUGGCUUAAUAUUUUCAAGCACUGUCUCACGAAUUGAAUGUCUGAGGCUUAAAUCUGUCUGAUUUACCUUAAAAUAUCAUGUAAAUCUGUUUAAAAAUCUGAUUUACAUUAAAAUAUCGUGUAAAUCAAACCAGUUUUCAUAGAUUUUGUCUGUUGUCAAUUCUACCACCACACUCAAACUCAUGACUCAUGGUUAACAUAAUCAAAUUCUCAUCUUUAAAGAGUUCAAAUAAAAGCAGAAGGUAUAUGUGUCGCACAAAUUUCCCUUCAGUGAAUUGUUGAAAUAGUUUCCCUUUUCACCACUGAAGUCUGUCUCCUGCUCCUAUUGCUAUUUUGAAUUUGAGACUAAUUUAAUUUGUUCGUUAUGAAUCUGACUAUGUUUAGUUUGUAAUUGGCUACUAUUGUAGUGAAUAUACUCUGCCACCUUACACAAUUGGUUUAAAAUAGGCUACCAUUAUUACAGGUCACCAACCACAUUGAACUGCAGAACUAGAACAUACAGGUCACUAUUAGUUACAUAUGUUCUGUUUUAUUUACAUUCAAUUGCAAAGCUUUAACUAACUGUCACUUUAAACUAAUAAAGUUGUGCACUAUUGGUUACACAAAACUUUAUUUGCAUUCAAUUGCAAAACUUGAACUAAUUGUAACUUUAAGCUAAUAAAGUUGUAUAGUCUUGGUCUAA
Long non-coding RNA from Macrobrachium nipponense, 2316 nucleotides. RefSeq lists it as uncharacterized. The record is from RefSeq and is a predicted model, not a curated record. NCBI's taxonomy places the organism in Eukaryota, Metazoa, Arthropoda, Malacostraca, Decapoda, Palaemonidae. The transcript is spliced from 2 exons.